Molecule: unclassified non-coding RNA, 206 nt
Filed under: uncultured fungus
Lineage: Eukaryota; Fungi
Description: sequence contains ITS1
Source: RNAcentral
UUAAUUUAUUUGUUUUUAGUGACUCAGAAUACUGCUAAGAGCAAGAGUUUGUGAGGGGCCUCUGGCGGGCACCUCCCCGCGAUGGGGAGGCUGCGGCCCCGCCCUGGGGCUGCCCGCCGAAGCAACAUCUAGGUAAGUUCACAAAGGGUUGGCGAGCUGUUUAAGACUCUUUUGUAAUGAUCCCUCCGCUGGUUCACCAACGGAGA